CAAUCAGAAUCUCCCGGCAGUUGGUUCCCGGAGGCAGAAUCUGUUAAACUGACAAAGCCCACGUCUCCGGGUCCCUGUCUCGGGGAGUCGGGACUAUUGGGUCACCCCGGGUAGUCGAGACUCUAGACUGAGCUGUCUCGGUCACUCAGGAGGCAGUUGGCAGAGUAUUCGUGGUCAGGGAGGUGACCCGUGGUCAGCAGGGUCAGGCCACCCAGGGACAAAGGGUGCUCCUGCACCGGGCCUUGGAGAAGGACAGAGCGGUGGGGACUUGGGGUCAGCGGGGGAGCCUCCGCGGAUGGGGAGUCACCACCUGCCGCUUGAAAGGGAUGUGCAUUUAGUAAUGAGAUUUGCUCAGCAGCGUAGUCAGCUGUGUGGUGCAUUCUCAGCUGUGCCUCAGCAGCCCUGAUGCAGACAUCCAGAAGGAGCACAGCCACUUUAUCCAGAGCAAUCAGCCAUGACUGCCUUUGCACUGUCCAUGCUCUCAGCCCACCACCUCCUCCCCCUGCCAUUGCAGUGGCUAACACUGGAGACGAAGACCAAGACACCACAGCCUUUCUCCAGUACCUCUCAAAUCAGCACAGACAAGGACAAAGGCCUCAAUCCACAACUGCUGAAGAUGGACCCUGGCCACAUGGGAUGGUCAGACACGCCUGCCCAGCUAUCUGCAGGCGAAGAGGCUCAGAAGAGGUUUAGGGGCCUGAAGGACAUCUUGCUUCCAUGUCCAUAUGAGCAGGCUAUUUCUGCUCCAUGAGUCAAUUUUGCCAUAUAAAAUACUUAAUUUCAGCCAUUCCAGGGUGCUAUAGGAUGCACAGCUUCCCAUCAGCCCACCUGAACUCCAGCCAUGCCAUUUUAAUACCAGGAAUAAGGUCACCUGCUUUCCUGCCCCUUAGGAGGCCGGAGCCGUGGAAGCAAAAUGGCACUUCUGUUUACCUGUUAUAUUAUUUUUUUGUCAUCCUUAUAUGUUUGAAAAAUGCAAUUAUAUGAAAAAAGUUUAGUAAUUACAGACAUAACAGCAGAAAGUCCUCGGAACCAAGCUUAUUCUCAUGGCCGAUUCUGCUCCACCUGGGACUCUGCUGUGCUGCGGGCAUCCUGUGGUCAGAAUCGCAGAGGGGCCAUCAGGGAGGACCUUCCCAGAGGAUGGACCUCACGUGACUGCUGCGUGGGCAAGUGGCACUGGCCACUCUGCCUGGAGAGAGGAGUAAAUGCAGGGCUGGCCAGGCGACCUGCACACUCUGCUACCGGCCUUGUCCAUCUUUAGCCUCUAAUUUGAAAAUGAGGAUCACACAGACCAAGAGUAUCUUUGAGGGUUAGUACAGACCACAGAAAUGCCCUGGGCCUUUCACUCUCUCCUUUUGCAAAUUCCCAUGUGUGGAAAUGCCGUUUGGAUAAUGAGGGAGCCUGAAGGAGGUGGACACAUGAGCAGCCCCGACAGGCCUGGCUCCAUCCUCUGAAAAUGGGGCCCCGUGCCCGGCGUGUGGCCUUACUGGUUCAGUCUUCUUUACAGUGGUAGGUUUUGAGUGCCCAGAUGCCCAGUGCCUCCUACCCGGAACAGGACAGGACCAGGCUGUCCCCUGGAAGAAUCCCAUGCACACUUGGCUAUUCAGGGAGUUUCCACCCAGCCGAGCUCGCCUCUGUGGCUACCCUGGUCUUGCUGCUCAUAUCUGCCAGGAAAGGCCUGGACUUGGAGAGAAACCUGGGAUUUGGAUUCAGUCCUUGCCAGCCUGGCUGGUUCAUAUCCUUACCUCUGUCUGUGGAAGCCUAUGUUCCUGAGCAGCGAGUCAGAGGGGGCAUCUGAACGCAGAGCAGGGAGCUUCAGAUGGGAAGAAGUCAGAGGAACCAGAAUGUAUCAGACGAUGUGGAGUUGGGUGCCUGAGCUCAAAGCAAGCUGGGCCUUGGGCUGGCUGUGUGAUCUUGGGCAAGUUCGACCAGCUUCUUUGUGCCUCUUUUCUCUCCUUAAUAAGAUAAAUGUCUUCACUAGUACACUGGGAAUCCAGCCAUCAUCUGAGGAAGCAGUUCAUGUCGCAGCAAAGGAAGUUCUGUUCUCACCACAGCCCCUAUCUUCUGGAAGCAGCUGUCGUAAUUGAAAGGUGGAAUGGCUUAGAUUUGGUUAUGACACCCUAUAAGGAUGGAGUUCUGUUUUACCUGAUGCAUCACCGUCCCCACCAUGUUCUUCCUGACUUCGAAGCAGUCUGGUGACCCCAGGCAGGAACUGACUAGCAUGAGAGUCUUGAUGCAGGAGAAUUUUUGAAGAAAUUCAGAAGCAGAACCGAAAGGAGGAGAGAAGGUGGAGGUGGGAAAGCUGACAGCUGGAGACUGGGGAGGGCCCUUUGAGGCCUGGGAGAGAAUAUGUGGAUGGUGGGGAGACCUUUCCCAGCAUUUUGGUAAAGGCUCCGUCAGUGCCCUGUCCUCGUGUUGGGGUCCCCCUCUCACAAAGUAUCUUUUCCACCUUUAGCCACCUCCACCCUGUCCACUAACCUUCAGUGGGAACAGCAGAUGCAACUGGCGGGGCUGAACCCUCCAUCAACUCCCAUGUAUUCAGUGUCCCUCAGGAAAUGUCCAAAAUCUGCAGCAGAAAAAUGUAACUCAGAAAAUUAGCACUGGAUGCCGGGGUUUCCAUGGUGACUGAAGACUCUGCCACCUGGUCCACCCCUGUUAUGACCACAGUGGGCCCCAAUCUAAUGUUGCCAUCAAGAGUGAUAGCCCAGAUGUGCUGGAUGUGACUAGCAGGAACAAGGAGAAAUGCAGCCCUUAGCUGCGGGGGCGGCGCUCCAUUUUGCUAAGGAAUAGCUUAUGCUUUGGACAAGGGAAGCCGGCUCUGUUGUCCCCAACUGCCCACCUUGCCACAGGGGCAGCAGGGACUGGGAGAAGAGAGUGUGGAGUCUGUUACCGAGCUCCUCUGAGAAACAGACGCCAAAACUAAAUUGCAGGGGUUUUAGGAGGGAACAGACAUAAUGAAAAGAAUGAGAAAAAACUGGGAAACAGCAGGCAGUGAGAUGGAGUGAGAACUGGAAUAAGGUUUAAGCCUGCAACAUCUGAAGCCCUGGACCUGGAACCGGAGACUCCCACCAGCCACUAUACCUGUGAACCCGUAGAAGACCUGAACUACCUAUUUAAAAGACAGUCAAAAGAUAAGUAAAUGCCUACCAAUUUUCCCUGGUGUAA
Molecule: long non-coding RNA, 3162 nt
Filed under: Homo sapiens (human)
Lineage: Eukaryota; Metazoa; Chordata; Mammalia; Primates; Hominidae
Description: long non-coding RNA NONHSAT189266.1
Source: RNAcentral